This 241-nucleotide unclassified non-coding RNA is filed under the name uncultured fungus. RNAcentral's name for it is "sequence contains ITS1, 5.8S rRNA gene". The stretch from base 193 to 241 matches the Rfam family "5.8S ribosomal RNA", at positions 1 to 49 of the family's 154-position model. The record is from RNAcentral. Lineage: Eukaryota; Fungi.
UUUCCGUAGGUGAACCUGCGGAAGGAUCAUUACAGAGUUCGUGCCCUUCGGGGUAGACCUCCCACCCUUUGUAUACAUCCCCUUGUUGCUUCGGCGGCUCGCCGCAAGGCCCUCGGCUUCGGCUGGGGCGUGGCCGCCGGAGGACCCCCAGCCCUGAAUUACAUUGUCGUCCGGGUACUAUAUAAUAGUUAAAACUUUCAACAACGGAUCUCUUGGUUCUGGCAUCGAUGAAGAACGCAGC